AGCGCCCUGGUGUAAUGGCAACAUUACCCGCUCAUUACGGGUCAGAUCUGAGUUCGAAUCUCAGGGGCGCCACCA
Molecule: transfer RNA, 75 nt
Filed under: Candidatus Obscuribacterales bacterium
Lineage: Bacteria; Bacillati; Candidatus Melainabacteria; Candidatus Obscuribacterales
Description: tRNA-Met
Source: RNAcentral